Molecule: ribosomal RNA, 407 nt
Filed under: uncultured prokaryote
Also listed under: 1 other name
Description: bacterial SSU rRNA
Rfam family: Bacterial small subunit ribosomal RNA
Source: RNAcentral
UAGGGAAUAUUGGGCAAUGGGGGAAACCCUGACCCAGCAACGCCGCGUGAAGGAAGAAGGCUUUCGGGUUGUAAACUUCUUUUAUCGGGGACGAAAAAAAUGACGGUACCCGAUGAAUAAGCCACGGCUAACUACGUGCCAGCAGCCGCGGUAAUACGUAGGUGGCAAGCGUUGUCCGGAUUUACUGGGUGUAAAGGGCGUGUAGGCGGGAUAGCAAGUCAGGUGUGAAAUCUAUGGGCUUAACCCAUAAACUGCACUUGAAACUGUUAUUCUUGAGUGAUGGAGAGGCAGGCGGAAUUCCUAGUGUAGCGGUGAAAUGCGUAGAUAUUAGGAGGAACACCAGUGGCGAAGGCGGCCUGCUGGACAUUAACUGACGCUGAGGCGCGAAAGCGUGGGGAGCAAACAGG